Molecule: long non-coding RNA, 398 nt
Filed under: Phascolarctos cinereus (koala)
Lineage: Eukaryota; Metazoa; Chordata; Mammalia; Diprotodontia; Phascolarctidae
Description: lncRNA (ENSPCIG00000014315.2)
Source: RNAcentral
UGAAUUUUUUGCAUCGUGCUUAUAUUAAACAUCUUUCAGUGAUACAGUAGGAAAUAAUUUAGACUUUUUUGGAUAUUUCUCCCAAAACCCAGAAUGAUUCCAGAAAUAAUCCAACAUCAGACUGAGAGUUCAUAAGUUGCACUUGCUUGCUCAUCUUUGGUUUUGCAAAAUGUCUCAAUCCAAGAAAGUACAGAAACUAUAAGGAAACGGAUUGAAGGAAGUGUUAGAUGGAAUUAUUGAUCUGGACAGCAUCUAUUUUGUCAGUACAAGUGUUUUGGCAGUACUUAAAACCAUGGAAGUACCCUGCGCACUCUCAGGAUCCAAAUAUCUGAUGAAAUUAUUCAAUUGGAUACCAUCAAUUUAAUAAAUUCAAAGAUGUCACAUGUAUUUGCUACCUU